RNAcentral lists this ribosomal RNA (253 nucleotides) under uncultured bacterium. RNAcentral's name for it is "partial 16S ribosomal RNA". It matches the Rfam family "Bacterial small subunit ribosomal RNA", at positions 524 to 776 of the family's 1533-position model. The record is from RNAcentral.
UACAGAGGGUGCAAGCGUUAAUCGGAAUUACUGGGCGUAAAGCGUGCGUAGUCGGUUAUUUAAGUCGGGCGUGAAAGCCCCGGGCUCAACCUGGGAAUUGCGUUCGAUACUGGAUAGCUAGAGUUCGGCAGAGGGAAGCGGAAUUUCGGGUGUAACGGUGAAAUGCGUAGAUAUCCGAAGGAACAUCAGUGGCGAAAGCGGCUUCCUGGACCAGAACUGACGAUCAGGCACGAAAGCGUGGGGAGCAAACAGG